GCGUUGUUCGGAAUUACUGGGCGUAAAGGGCUCGUAGGUGGUCAACUAAGUCGGACGUGAAAUCCCUCGGCUUAACCGGGGAACUGCGUCCGAUACUGGAUGACUUGAGUUCGGGAGAGGGAUGCGGAAUUCCAGGUGUAGCGGUGAAAUGCGUAGAUAUCUGGAGGAACACCGGUGGCGAAGGCGGCAUCCUGGACCGACACUGACGCUGAGGAGCGAAAGCCAGGGGAGCAAACGGG
Molecule: ribosomal RNA, 239 nt
Filed under: uncultured bacterium
Lineage: Bacteria
Description: partial 16S ribosomal RNA
Rfam family: Bacterial small subunit ribosomal RNA
Source: RNAcentral